Papaver somniferum (opium poppy) is the source of this 2569-nucleotide long non-coding RNA. RefSeq lists it as uncharacterized. The record is from RefSeq and is a predicted model, not a curated record. The transcript has 9 exons. NCBI's taxonomy places the organism in Eukaryota, Viridiplantae, Streptophyta, Magnoliopsida, Ranunculales, Papaveraceae.
UUCUCUCUUCAUUGUUUCUUCUCUCGUUUGCAAACAACUAAAAACCCAAGCUUUCUGGAACAAAGAUUAAUCCAAGGAAAAAAAUCCCACCAUGACUAAAUGAUAUUACUAGUGAAACUUUGAAACCUUUAAUUUCGAGAUUCCUCUCAAUUGAAUCAGUAUGAAAAAAAAAAUCGAUUUAGAAAUUAAUGUAAGGGGAAAUCUUCUUGGGUUUAAAUCAGCUACAAUCGAUUUAGAACUGUCAUUUAGAAGAUUUCUCCGUACAUUUUUUCAAUGUUUCGUGAUGUUAGUUUGCUACAAUCUAGGGAUUUAUCUGUAUUCUGUUUGUUUGUUUUUUUUCAAUUUGGGAUUUAGGGGUUUCCUGAUGAGGAUGAUGUAAAAUUCAUUAGAAGUUCAAUUUGUAGAAACUUCAAGGGAUUAUGAUUGAGUCAAGAUGGAAGUUAUAUCAUGAAGAAAAAAAAAGUAAAACAUCUUGCCGGUGCAGAAGUUAAUUAAGAUAGAAACAACGAUUUCGAUUAUUCCAGCUUCCGCAUCUGAAAUUCAAGUGUUGCUUUCAGAAACAAUCUAAUGAAAAGAUGAGGUAAUGAAGAUGGUGGUUUGUGAAUUAUUUUGAUUGUUCUUUCUAGGUAAUGGAAAUGCUGGUGCUAGUGAAUCGUUGUAGUAUGGAGCGGUAUUCUAAAGAUGGUGGUAGUGGUGAUUUGUAGUAGUAUCGGGGAUGGUAAUGGAGACGUGGGGAUAGAGUACUGGACGUGAUUAAGUAAAACUACAGAGGAAUGCCCAUAAAUCCGCGACUCGGAUCGUGCUCGAACAACAUCCGAAACUACUUUUACUGCAGGACAACUAAAGCAGUUAGCAAAUGAGCUACAACAGGUUAAAUGAAAUUGCUGCAGCUUUGGCUUAUCUCGAAACAGAGCUGGCUUCAAAGGCACCAAAACUAUUCAGUGUACCACAGAUCGUGAAUCCUGUCAAGAUCUUGGCGAUUUUCAUGGGCAAUUUGGGGGCCUUAUGCGUCUCUUUGAUAAAUAUGGGUCUCCUUCAACUGCAGGAGAUAUGGCUUAUAUCGACUACCUCUUCUUAGGGGAAUAUGUUGACCUAGGCCAACUCAGCUUGGAAAUGAUUAGUGUUUUGCUUGCAUUGAAGGUCAAGUAUCCACAAGAUGUACAUAUGGUUCGUGGAAACCCCGAGGCAGCAGAUAUUGAUGCUCUGUUUGGAUUCACGAUCGAGUGCACUGAACGGAUAGUACUUUUCACAAUCUCAUUGGCUUUCUAGUUUCUUCUCUAAUUUGUUUGUCAAAUGAUUCACUUACUACAUGUGUGCUAACAGGGAGAAAGGGAUGUUAUUUGGGCUUGGCACAAAACAAAAAGGUUGUUUAAUUGGCUUCCUUUGGCAGCUCGAAUUGAAAAGAAAAUCAUUUCCAUUGCAUGGUGGCAUUUGUCGCUCUAUAUAUCUACUAGUUAUGUUCUUAAGUGUCUCUUCUAGUAGAUUCCAUAUUUGUUAUGUUUACUUUCGUUUUAAUUUCAUUUUCUACAAUUGGUUAUCUUUCCAAGGGCACGAGAAAUGGGGAUACACGUAUGUGAAUGAACUUGCCCAGCACCUUAUAAUUCAACUGGUGGAGAUCAUGUAGCUCCCCUGCGCACAUGUGAGUUUUCAUAUGCAUCUUAAAUGCGUUGUAUAGUCAGAACCUUGAAAAUUAGGUACUUAUUUGGGUCAUAUAGCAUACUGAAUCUUGUACUAUAAUCUGCACGUCUUAUAUUCCACAAUAUCUAACCUGUUGGCUGUUGAUGAUUUCUAAUUUGUUAUGCAUAAUCUUGGAUAUCUUUAAUGAACACUCUGAUGCAAUCUGAUUUUUAAUUUCUUAUGAUUACUAGUUUAGCUUGUGCAAGUAUCUUCUUUUUCCCCAGUAUCUGCCUUCGAUUGCCCCGAAGCUUCCGUUUUGUUGCAAUCUUCUCCUGUCGUAGUUAUGGUUGUGCGAUAACUUUCCUGUAGUUUGUGGCCAAUACUGCAUGUAUAUAUAGACAUCUUCCCCCCAGCUAAUAUUAUUAGUUAAGUUACAUUUGUGAUGUGCGCUGCUAGAUUACCUACAACUAAGGUUUGAUUUUUCAAAUUUACCUCACACGUGACCUCGUUUAGGUUAUGGUUAUGGUUGUAGUUUAUAAUUAUGGUUGAAUCACAGAGAAUUUGUAUGUAUGCAAAUAAUGCAGGAAAUGAGUUUUUAGCACUGUUAAUGAUGAGGUUAUUGAAUCUGGUGGUAGUAGUUCAGGGAAAUUGAGAUUGUUGGUGACGAUUGAAAUGAGAUUGCAGCUAUUGGUGGAUUGGAAAGAAGUCGCAUGUGAACCAAGGAUACAACACAUUGAUGCUCUGCUUGAUAUCAUUUGUGAAGUAUUGUUGUAGGAGGAGCUGAAUUAUCAUUUUGUUUUUUUUAUCAGUUGGUUGUUGUCAGAACUUAGCAAUCUUGGACAUGUAUUCUCUGAACUCAAUAUUUCUUUUUUUUUUGUGUAGUUUUACACCCAAUGGAAUGAAUGUUAAAAUUCUCAGUUAAAUUUGAAGUUGCACUUGAAUUUCAGUUAAA